ACCAGUGAGGCCGAGGCUGCAGAGACGCUAGGAUUGUGACACUAGGGGGCGCUCGCUGACUGCCGUUCUCACGCAGGGCUCGAGCUGGCGGGAGGCAAGCACCCAGGGAAACACGUUCCCAGAACCAGCCCACGGACAUCUGGCUUCACCUCCCAGUCACAGGAGGGUCCAGGAAGCCAGCGGAUCUCUACAGAACCGAAUGUCCUGAGCGCCUACGGGACAAGACCGGGAGCAAAAGGGAGAAGAGGCUGUAUGUUCCGGCUUCAGGUUCAGAUUUCCCCGCACCCCCAUACGUGGAGCACUACCCUGCGUUAUCAAGGAGACGGUAACCGCAGAAACGGCCUACCCAUCCCCUGCCAGGCUCAGGUAAAAAUUA
Long non-coding RNA from Mesocricetus auratus (golden hamster), 376 nucleotides. RefSeq lists it as uncharacterized. Lineage: Eukaryota; Metazoa; Chordata; Mammalia; Rodentia; Cricetidae. The record is from RefSeq and is a predicted model, not a curated record. The transcript is spliced from 3 exons.